Molecule: non-coding RNA, 24 nt
Filed under: Arabidopsis thaliana (thale cress)
Lineage: Eukaryota; Viridiplantae; Streptophyta; Magnoliopsida; Brassicales; Brassicaceae
Source: RNAcentral
GAAGAAAGGAAGCUAUGGUCACUA